This 408-nucleotide ribosomal RNA is filed under the name uncultured bacterium. RNAcentral describes it as "partial 16S ribosomal RNA". It matches the Rfam family "Bacterial small subunit ribosomal RNA", at positions 28 to 526 of the family's 1533-position model. The record is from RNAcentral.
GACGAACGCUGGCGGCGUGCUUAACACAUGCAAGUCGAACGAAGUGGCGAACGGGUGAGUAACGCGUAAUCAACCUGCCCUUCAGAGGGGGACAACAGUUGGAAACGACUGCUAAUCCCGCAUACUGAAGGAGGGGAUUGCGUCUGAUUAGCUAGUUGGAGGGGUAACGGCCAACCAAGGCGAUGAUCAGUAGCCGGGCUGAGAGGAUGAACGGAGAAAUGGGGACUGAGAGACGGCCCAGACUCCUAGGGGAGGAAGAAGGGGGGAAUAGGGCGAAAGGGAAGAAAGUGUGACGGAGAAACGCCGCGAGAGUGAGGACGGCCUGCGGGGUGUAAAGCUGUGUUAAUCGGGAGGCGGUACCGGAAUAGAAAGCCACGGCUAACUACGUGCCAGCAGCCGCGGUAAUAC